RNAcentral lists this ribosomal RNA (468 nucleotides) under uncultured bacterium. RNAcentral's name for it is "partial 16S ribosomal RNA". It matches the Rfam family "Bacterial small subunit ribosomal RNA", at positions 28 to 507 of the family's 1533-position model. The record is from RNAcentral.
GACGAACGCUGGCGGCGUGCUUAACACAUGCAAGUCGAACGGAAAGGCCCUGCUUUUGUGGGGUGCUCGAUUGCCGAACGGGUGAGUAACACGUGAGUAACCUGCCCUUGACUUUGGGAUAACUUCAGGAAACUGGGGCUAAUACCGGAUAGGAGCUCCUGCUGCAUGUUGGGGGUUGGAAAGUUUCGGCGGUUGGGGAUGGACUCGCGGCUUAUCAGCUUGUUGGUGGGGUAGUGGCUUACCAAGGCUUUGACGGGUAGCCGGCCUGAGAGGGUGACCGGCCACAUUGGGACUGAGAUACGGCCCAGACUCCUACGGGAGGCAGCAGUGGGGAAUAUUGCACAAUGGGCGGAAGCCUGAUGCAGCAACGCCGCGUGCGGGAUGACGGCCUUCGGGUUGUAAACCGCUUUCGCCUGUGACGAAGCGUGAGUGACGGUAAUGGGUAAAGAAGCACCGGCUAACUACGUG